Salmo salar (Atlantic salmon) is the source of this 624-nucleotide non-coding RNA. The record is from RefSeq and is a predicted model, not a curated record. NCBI's taxonomy places the organism in Eukaryota, Metazoa, Chordata, Actinopteri, Salmoniformes, Salmonidae.
CCUGAUUACCUUCCCUAUGUAUGUCACUCCCUUUGGUUCCUUCCCAAGGCGUCAUUGUUUCUGUUUCAGUUUCAUGUCUGUGUGCUGUUAGUGUUUCGUAUUAUGUUCCUUUUGUUUUAUUGGAACACUCACUUCCCGAACUUGUUUCCCGACUCUCAGCGCACAUCGUUACAACGCCAAUGGACUACCUUCAGGGACUGAUGGAGAAGGAUGUACAGGUUUUUGAUCAGGUGAGACUGAACAUGGACAAGCCUCAGGAGAAACAGAAGGAGAGCUACCGGAUAAGAAUCAAGAAGGGGACCAAGUGCUACGACAUCCGGGUGAAUUACUUGGUUUGGAAGAAGGACAAAAGGAAGGCGAGACCUGGGAAACCUCGCUGCUCUUUUGCUCCUAGCUGGGGCCACCAUCUGUUAAAGGUUACCUCGUGGAAGCCAACAAUAUCCUACAGUUGGAGCAGUUGGACGGUCGAACAUUGGAAGCACUGACGCUCUACACUUCAGUGAAGCCCCAUAGACAAAGACCAUAGACUGUCUGAGCCCCCCAGGAGGCAUCCCAUCCACCAGAACCAGUGAGUUUGGAUCAGUCUGAUUCUCUGUGCUGAGUUGGAGGGGGACCAAAUAGAGG